This 652-nucleotide ribosomal RNA is filed under the name Cellulosimicrobium sp. Its description in RNAcentral is "bacterial SSU rRNA". It matches the Rfam family "Bacterial small subunit ribosomal RNA", at positions 786 to 1435 of the family's 1533-position model. The record is from RNAcentral. Lineage: Bacteria; Bacillati; Actinomycetota; Actinomycetes; Micrococcales; Promicromonosporaceae.
CCUGGUAGUCCAUGCCGUAAACGUUGGGCACUAGGUGUGGGGCUCAUUCCACGAGUUCCGUGCCGCAGCAAACGCAUUAAGUGCCCCGCCUGGGGAGUACGGCCGCAAGGCUAAAACUCAAAGGAAUUGACGGGGGCCCGCACAAGCGGCGGAGCAUGCGGAUUAAUUCGAUGCAACGCGAAGAACCUUACCAAGGCUUGACAUGCACGGGAAGCCACCAGAGAUGGUGGUCUCUUUGGACACUCGUGCACAGGUGGUGCAUGGUUGUCGUCAGCUCGUGUCGUGAGAUGUUGGGUUAAGUCCCGCAACGAGCGCAACCCUCGUCCCAUGUUGCCAGCGGGUUAUGCCGGGGACUCAUGGGAGACUGCCGGGGUCAACUCGGAGGAAGGUGGGGAUGACGUCAAAUCAUCAUGCCCCUUAUGUCUUGGGCUUCACGCAUGCUACAAUGGCCGGUACAAAGGGCUGCGAUACCGUAAGGUGGAGCGAAUCCCAAAAAGCCGGUCUCAGUUCGGAUUGGGGUCUGCAACUCGACCCCAUGAAGUCGGAGUCGCUAGUAAUCGCAGAUCAGCAACGCUGCGGUGAAUACGUUCCCGGGCCUUGUACACACCGCCCGUCAAGUCACGAAAGUCGGUAACACCCGAAGCUCCAUGGC